RNAcentral lists this ribosomal RNA (367 nucleotides) under uncultured organism. Its description in RNAcentral is "bacterial LSU rRNA". It matches the Rfam family "Bacterial large subunit ribosomal RNA", at positions 2099 to 2465 of the family's 2925-position model. The record is from RNAcentral.
CUUUACUGUAACCUGGAAUUGGGUUCGGGCUUUGCUUGCGCAGGAUAGGUGGGAGGCUAAGAGAAUACCCUUGUGGGGAGUGUGGAGCCAACGGUGAGAUACCACUCUGGUGAGGCUAGAAUUCUAACCCAAUGCCGUGACCCGGCUUGGGAACAGUUUCAGGCGGGCAGUUUGACUGGGGCGGUCGCCUCCUAAAAGGUAACGGAGGCGCGCAAAGGUUCUCUCAGGCUGGUUGGAAAUCAGCCGUAGAGUGUAAAGGCAUAAGAGAGCUUGACUGUGAGACCCACAAGUCGAACAGGGACGAAAGUCGGCCUUAGUGAUCCGACGGCACUGAGUGGAAGGGCCGUCGCUAAACGGAUAAAAGUUA